GGGGGGGGGGGGGGGCGGGCGUGAGGCAUGCAGGGGGAGGGGGAGGGGCCGGCGUUUGUGGGGUGCUCGCGUGGCGAACGGGUGAGUACGCCGGGGGUAGGCUGCGGGUUGUGUUGUGUUGACUUCUGAAAACUGGGUCUCAUCCCGUAUGUGAUCUGCUGCGGGAUGGUGUGGGUUGGACAUUUUCGGCGGUUGGGGAUGGAAUCGCGGCUUAUCAGCUUGUUGGUGGGGUAGUGGCUUACCAAGAUGUUGACGGGUAGCCGGCCUGAGAGGGUGACCGGCCACAUUGGGACUGAGAUACGGCCCAGACUCCUCCGGGAGGCAGCAGUGGGGAAUAUUGCACAAUGGGCGGAAGCCUGAUGCAGCAACGCCGCGUGCGGGAUGACGGCCUUCGGGUUGUAAACCGCUUUCGCCUGUGACGAAGCGUGAGUGACGGUAAUGGGUAAAGAAGCACCGGCUAACUACGUG
RNAcentral lists this ribosomal RNA (468 nucleotides) under uncultured bacterium. Its description in RNAcentral is "partial 16S ribosomal RNA". It matches the Rfam family "Bacterial small subunit ribosomal RNA", at positions 38 to 507 of the family's 1533-position model. The record is from RNAcentral.